RNAcentral lists this ribosomal RNA (922 nucleotides) under uncultured Bacteroidota bacterium. Its description in RNAcentral is "bacterial SSU rRNA". It matches the Rfam family "Bacterial small subunit ribosomal RNA", at positions 1 to 915 of the family's 1533-position model. Lineage: Bacteria; Pseudomonadati; Bacteroidota. The record is from RNAcentral.
GGAUCCAGACUUUGAUCAUGGCUCAGGAUGAACGCUAGCUACAGGCUUAACACAUGCAAGUCGAGGGGAAACGAUAUUGGAAGCUUGCUUCCGAUAGGCGUCGACCGGCGCACGGGUGAGUAACGCGUAUCCAACCUGCCCAUCACUUGGGGAUAACCUUGCGAAAGUAAGACUAAUACCCAAUGACGUCCAUAGAAGACAUCUGAAGUGGAUUAAAGAUUUAUCGGUGACGGAUGGGGAUGCGUCUGAUUAGCUUGUUGGCGGGGUAACGGCCCACCAAGGCGACGAUCAGUAGGGGUUCUGAGAGGAAGGUCCCCCACAUUGGAACUGAGACACGGUCCAAACUCCUACGGGAGGCAGCAGUGGGGAAUAUUGGUCAAUGGACGAGAGUCUGAACCAGCCAAGUAGCGUGCAGGAAGACGGCCCUAUGGGUUGUAAACUGCUUUUAUAAGGGAAUAAAGUGAGUCUCGUGAGACUUUUUGCAUGUACCUUAUGAAUAAGGACCGGCUAAUUCCGUGCCAGCAGCCGCGGUAAUACGGAAGGUCCGGGCGUUAUCCGGAUUUAUUGGGUUUAAAGGGAGCGUAGGCCGGAGAUUAAGCGUGUUGUGAAAUGUAGACGCUCAACGUCUGCACUGCAGCGCGAACUGGUUUCCUUGAGUACGCACAAAGUGGGCGGAAUUCGUGGUGUAGCGGUGAAAUGCUUAGAUAUCACGAAGAACUCCGAUUGCGAAGGCAGCUCACUGGAGCGCAACUGACGCUGAAGCUCGAAAGUGCGGGUAUCGAACAGGAUUAGAUACCCUGGUAGUCCGCACGGUAAACGAUGGAUGCCCGCUGUUGGUCUGAAUAGGUCAGCGGCCAAGCGAAAGCAUUAAGCAUCCACCUGGGGAGUACGCCGGCAACGGUGCAACUCAAAGGAAUUGACG